Molecule: signal recognition particle RNA, 148 nt
Filed under: Nomascus leucogenys (northern white-cheeked gibbon)
Lineage: Eukaryota; Metazoa; Chordata; Mammalia; Primates; Hylobatidae
Description: Metazoan signal recognition particle RNA
Rfam family: Metazoan signal recognition particle RNA
About the family: The signal recognition particle (SRP) is a universally conserved ribonucleoprotein. It is involved in the co-translational targeting of proteins to membranes.
Source: Rfam by way of RNAcentral
GCUGGGCGUGGUGGUGCACGCCUGUAAUCCCAGCUACUUGGGAAGCUGAGGCAGAAGAAUCGCUUGAACCUGGGAAGUGGAGGUUGCAGUGAGCCGAGAUCGCACCACUGCACUCCAGCCUGGGUGACAGAGCGAGAUUCUGUCUCAA